Molecule: long non-coding RNA, 1302 nt
Filed under: Podarcis muralis (Common wall lizard)
Lineage: Eukaryota; Metazoa; Chordata; Lepidosauria; Squamata; Lacertidae
Description: lncRNA (ENSPMRG00000013669.1)
Source: RNAcentral
CACAGCUCUAUGUUUCUAUGACAUUGUGCCAAAUUGUCAGAUUCAGUCAUAGUAAUUUGGAGCAGACCUGAGUGAAGACUGCAGCCUCCAGGUCCACUCCCCAAGCCCCGCCCACAGGCCGCCAUGGAUAGGCUAGAUUUGAAAUACUGGCCACCCAUGAUGCUCUGUGGCAGCUGGGGAAGCUUCCAAUGGCCGAAACAACAUGGCAAGGCUUUGGAGGUGCCGCAGUGAGUCGCAACAGCUGGCCACCCUGAAAUCAACAAAUGUAUGCCAUACGAAAACAGUAGUACUGCUCUUUUGACACACAGGGGAUUUCAGUUUUGGUAUUACCAGCUAUGCUGAAUUAUGGACUUGGGCAGCAGGAUACUUCAGUUGUGCGCACACAAGCGUACUCCUUUUUGCCCCAGUGUGCUUCUGUACAAUCCAGAUGCCCCAAGAGAAACACAGAAAUUACUUGCAUAGGAAGAAUCCCACGCACGGAAAGCCCAUUUAAGCAAAAAAGCCAGCGCUAGAGCUCUCGUCCAUCCUUAUUACAAAGGAUAGGAAGAGAACCGGAGGGAGAAGCGUCUGGGCGAGCGGGAAAGUAGCGAACAGCGGCCCCUGGGGGGCGACUCGCUGACGGGAAUUUGGGGGACGCGGCGCGCGAAUGGACAGAGCGGACGGGCGAACCAAAUUUCGGUCGCGGGGAGGAGGCUGGGACGGUGGUGGGACAAAGCGGCGAUAAGCAAGCAACUGCCCGAAGCAGUCCGGGCAGCGGAAUAAGCGGCGAGGUCGCCUCACGUGGGGCCACCUCAGGGGCAACAAAGCCUGACUUGGUUCAUAUGGCGGGAAAACAAAAGGCUGCCCCCCCUCGAGCGCGGGGCGAGAGCCAAGUACCUUUUCUCCGGUCACGACGUGCAGCCCUUCCCGCACUUUGGCGAAGGACCCCUCGCCCAACUUCCUUCCGAUCAGCUCCUGCUUCUGCUCCCGCUGCCCCCCAAAUUCAAGUCUGCAGCACCAGCCUGCCAAUGUGAUCGGCACCCGCGUGUGCACGUGGGGACCCGACGGCGGCUGGCUGGCUGGCUGGUUGCUGAGGCGCACUUUGCCUCUCAGGGAAAUGUCAAGCAAAGAGCAAAACAAGCAAGCAAUGAAAAAAGCAAAAUAACAGAAAAGAAACCCGCUUCGCCAAGGGGGUCUGCCCGGCUUGGUGGAGAUCUAGCGCGAUUCGGCCGCCACGAGGAACUGGCUCCGGACCAUAGCCGCGCAGCUUUGCAGCCAGCUCCGGCGAUCUGCGAGGCUGAGGCUGUGCACGCCUCACGUUGA